Molecule: non-coding RNA, 68 nt
Organism: Trichonephila clavipes
Lineage: Eukaryota; Metazoa; Arthropoda; Arachnida; Araneae; Nephilidae
Source: the annotation of a GenBank genome assembly
GUUAGUGUAGUGUUUAUCACAUUCGCCUCACACACGUAAGUUCUCCGGUUCGAUCCCAGACGGAACCA